RNAcentral lists this ribosomal RNA (245 nucleotides) under uncultured bacterium. RNAcentral describes it as "partial 16S ribosomal RNA". It matches the Rfam family "Bacterial small subunit ribosomal RNA", at positions 524 to 768 of the family's 1533-position model. The record is from RNAcentral.
UACAGAGGGUGCAAGCGUUAAUCGGAAUUACUGGGCGUAAAGCGCACGUAGGCGGACAUUUAAGUCGGAUGUGAAAUCCCCGGGCUUAACCUGGGAACUGCAUUCGAGACUGAGUGUCUAGAGUAUGGUAGAGGAAAGUAGAAUUUCCGGUGUAGCGGUGAAAUGCGUAGAUAUCGGAAGGAAUACCAGUGGCGAAGGCGGCUUUCUGGACCAAUACUGACGCUGAGGUGCGAAAGCGUGGGGAG